GGCUCAGUUAGAAGAGAGAGAGGGCCACAUCUGAGCAACACAGAGGUACUCAAGGGGAGACUCUUAGGCACCAUUACAUACAAGUUUAGACUCUCCUUUGCCUACAUAAAUAUUUUGUAUUUGGACAGUCAAGGUGCACAAUUUGAAGUGACAACCCCUAUGUGUCUUGGACAUUAAUGUGCAUAAUUGCACAGAGUUAAUUCUAUCGGAAUAAGGUCCUGCUCCCCCUCAGACCACUUUUGCAGUACAGCAAGGGUACUGGCCACCAAGGCCUUUUUUUGGCCUGCUGCUGUGCAUAAUAGCAUUUGUCCAUGUUCCUGUGCCCUAGAUAAGGACUCCCUUGCUUCCCCACUUCCUUUGUCUUACAGUGGGGAGUGCCCACUGCUUUUAAGAUCCUUACUUUUGGGCAAUGAAGAGACAUGUUUUUAAUUGACCACCACCUAUGUCUCCUGGACACUAGUGUACAUAGUUUCACCUGGUUUGUCCUACUCUCUCAUACCCCUUUGCAUUACAGCAGGGUUGCUGACCCCUAAGGCUCCUUUACUUGGACUGUAGUGCACAUGAUUGUAUUUGUCUGGAUUCUUGUGCACUAGAUAAAGAAUCUCCCCACCCCCCACCAUCUUUCUUUGCCUUCGAGCAGGGAUUAGCCACACAUAAAGAGUUGCAUUUAGACAAUCAAUGCUCCCAAUUGUAAUUGACCACAACUAUGAAUCUUGGACAUUUAUAUACACAUGGUUCAUUCCAUUUGAGUAAGACCGUACCUCUCAGACCUCUUGCAGUAUAGCGGAGAUGCUAGCCACUGAGACUUAUAUCUUUUCUUGGCCUUUUAUUGUGCAUUAAUUGCAUUUGCCCAUGUUUCCUGUACCCUCUUUGCCUUACAGUUGGGAGCACCCACUGCUUUAAAGAUCCUUAUAUUUGGACCAUCAAGAGACAUGAUUUUAUCUGGCCAUGACCAUGUCCUUUGGGUGCAAAUGUAUGUAAUUUCACUUUGUUCAUCGUGUUUGACUCAGAUUCUGCUCCAUCAGAUUUUGCAUUACAGCAUGAUGGCUGACCCCAAGACCACUUUUCUUGGCUUGUUGUGCAUGAUUGUAUUUGUUAGGGUUCCUGUGCACUGGUCAAGGAACACCUCCCACCCCGCACACAUUUUCCUUUGCCUUCCAGCAGGGAAUGCCUAUAAACAAAGACAUUGCAUUUGGACUGUCAAGGUACACAGUUGUAAUUGACCACAACUGUAUAUCUUGGACAUUAAUAUGCAUAAUUGCACAAGGUUAAUUCCCUUUGGAUAAGGCCUUACCCCCUCAGACUACUUUUGCAGUACAACAGAAAUGUUGGCCUCUAAGGUCUCUUUUCUUGGUCUUUCAUUGUGCAUAAUUGCAUUUGUCCAUGUUCCUGUGCAGUAAAUAAAGACUUCCAUGCACCCCCUCACUCUCUCUGUCUUAUAGCUGGUAGUGCCCACCACUUUUUAAAUCCUUAUAUAUGGACAGUCAAGGGAUGCAAUUUAAAUUCACCACAGCAUUGUCCCUUGGACUUUAAGGUGCAUAAUUUCACAUGGUUCAUCCUAUCAGAUCAAGGUCCAGCUCCCUCAGACCCCUUUGUAUUACAGCAGGGUUGCUGACCCAGAGGCCCCUUUACUUGGGACUGUAGUGCACAUGACUUUUUCUUCUGGAUUCCUAUACACUAGACAAGGAAAGCCGCCCCUCCAACCCAUCUGUCUUUGCCUUUUAGCAAGGAAUGCUGCCCCUACCUAAAGAUACUGGAUUUGGACAGUCAAGGUGCACAAUUGUAAUAGACCAUGGUAAUAUGUCUUGGACCUUAAUGUCCAUAAUUGCACAUGGUUAAUUCCAGUUGAAUAAGAUCUUACCCCUUCAGACCACUUUUGAAGUAGUACGGCAGGGAUGCUGGCCACUAAGGCCUGUUUUCUCGGCCUGUUAUCAUGCGUAAUUAACCUGUCCAUGUUUCUGUGUGCUGGAUGAGGACCUCCCCACUACCCCACUCCCUGUUUUAUAGCUGGGAGUACCCACUACUUUUGAAGUCUUUAUAUAUGGACGGUUAAGGGAUAUGAUUUUAAUUGACCACAACCACAUCCCUUGGACUUGAUUGUACAUAAUUUUACCUGUUUCAUCCUAUUAGACUGAGAUGCUACUCCCUCAGUCCCCUUUUGUAUUACAGCAGGGUUGCUGACCCUUAAGGCCCCUUUAUUGGGACUGUAGUGCACAUGAUUGUAUUUGUCUGGGCCCUUAUGCUCUAGACAAGGAAAGCCCCAACCCUUCCUCAUUUUCUUUUGACUUCAAGCAGUGAAUGCCUUACCCAAGAUACUACAUUUGGGCAGUUCAGAUGCACAAUUGUAAUUGACCAUAACAAUACAUCUUGGACAUUAACAUGCAUACGUGCACGUGGUUAAUUCCAGUUGAAUAGGUUCCUAACCCCUCAUGCUACUUUUACAGUAGUACAGCAGGGAUGCUGGCCACUAAGGCCCCUUUUCUUGGUCUCUUAUUGUGCAUAAUUGCAUUGUCCAUGUUCCUGUGCACUAGAUAAAGACCACCCCAUUGCCCCAUUCCCUUUGACUUAUAGCUGGGAGUGCUCACUACUUUUAAAAUCCUUAGGGACAUGGUUUUAUGACCACCACCAUAUACCUUGGACUUUACAUAAUUUCACGUGGUUCAUCCUAUUAGACUGAGGUCCUACUCCCUUAGCCCCUUUUAUGUUACAGCAGAGUUGCUGACCCCUAAGGCCCCUUUACUUGGGACUGUAGUGCACAUGAUUGUAUUUGUCUGGGAUCUUAUAUUCUAGACAGGGAAAGCCCCAACCCUUUUCCAUCUUCCUUUGUCUUUAAACAAGGAAUAUCCCAACCUAAAGAUGUUAGAUUUGGACAGUCAAGGAGCACAGUUGUAAUUUACCACAACAAUAUAUCUUGGACAUUAAUGUGCAUAAUUGCACAUUGAAUAAGAUCUAACCUUGGUACAGCAGGGUUACUGGCCUCUAAGGCCUCUUUUCGUGGUCAUUUGUUGUCCAUAAUUGCAUUUGUCAUAUUACUGUGCACUAGAGACUUCCCUGCCACCCCCCCCCCCCCAACUCCCCUUGUCUUACAGCUUGGAGUUCCCACUACCUUUAAGAUCUUUACAUUUGGGCAGUCAAGGGAUGGUUUUAAUUGACCCAGGUCAUCCUACUAGAUUGAGGUCCAAUUCUCUCAUACCCAUUUGUAUUACAGCAGGAUUGCUGAGCCCUAAGGCACCUUUACUUGGACUGUAGUGCACAUUAUUGCAUUUGACCGGGUUCCUGUGUACUAGACAAGAAAGUACCCUCCUCACCCUUAUCUUCCUCCACCUUCCAGCAGGAAAUGUCUCCUACAUAAUACCUUUACAUUUGGACAGUCAAGGUGCACCACUGUAAUAGACCACACCUAUGCCCCUUGAACAUUAAUGUACAUAAUUUCACCUGGUUCACUCAAUUUGAAAAAGAUCCUUUUCUCUCAAACACCUUUUGGAGUAUAGCAGGGAUGCUGGACUGUGAGACCUCUUGGCCUGCUAUUGUGUAUAAUUGCAUUUGCCCAUGUUCCUAGGUGCUAGAUAAGGACCUCUCCACUGCCCCACCCCCCACUUGAGAGUGCCCACUACUUUUAAGAUCUUUAUGUUUGGACAGUCGAAAGACAGGGUUUUAAUUAAGCACAAUUAUGUCUUUGGGCACUAAUGAGCACAAUUGCAUGUGGUUCAUCCUGUUUGAGUAAGGUGCUAUCACCUGUUUUCCAGUAUGUGAUGUCCACUGUUUAAGACCCUUACAUUUGGCCAGUUAAUGCACAUAAUUGUAGUUGUUCACAACUCAUCAUCUCUUGGAUCUUUGUCCCUCCUUGCGUUACUGCAGGGAGUACUCUUUCUUUUCCCCCCCAAGGCCCAUUAUAGUAGACUGUUAAAAUGCCUAAUUGCCAAUUAUUGUGAUCUUCAUCAUUACGCUAAACAGAUAUCCGUUCACACUCCCUUUGCAAUUCAGAAGGUUGUCCUGAUUAACCAAGGCCCUCUUUUGGACUGGUAAUGUGUGUAAUUGCAUUUAUUCUUGGGUUAUGCACUGUUCUGUCCACCUACCUCAUGAGCAUUUCCAGAAGAUGGUAGUGCCUACUACUCAAGACCCUUUCACUUGGAAUGUUAAUGUGCAUAAACACAGUUUUUCUAAAAGCAUGUUUUAUACUAAAAUCCAUCAGCCUCUUUGCUUUAUAGCAAGUGGAUGCUGUUCACCUCAUGCCCCUUCCUUUGGACUGUAACAUGCAUAAUUGGAAUUGUCCAUCUCUUUGUUGGACUAGAAUUCCGUUCCCUUAUACCUUCUUUACAUUAGGGGUGUGUUAAUCCAUGUAUGAGCCCUUUUCUUGGAACUAUUAAUGUGUAUUAUUUGUCUGUGGACCUAUGCAGUAGAAAAGGACCGUGUCCUCCAAGUACCUUUGGAUUGCUGUUGAGGAGUGCUAAUUAUUCAUGGCCUCAGCUCGUGGACAAUUAAUAUGCACUAAUGACAGUUGUCAAGAAUACCAGUCCUUACAGAAGAUCCUUAUGCCUUCUGUGUAUAUCAGGGACACUGACUUCCUAAGGUCCUUUUUCUUUAACUGUUAAUGUGAAUAUUUGCCAUUAUCCAGGCCUCUUUCUGUUAGGCUAGGAUACCAUCCUCUCACACCCCCUUUGCAUUGCUGCAGGGUGGCUGCUGACACGUCAAGACCUAUUCUGGGACUGUUAAUGGGCACACUGGCAAUUGCCAGUUUCUUCCCUGCCCUUGUUAGGCAAGCACUCCCAAUCCCACCCAAUUUCCCACAGCAUAAUGAAGUACAAACAUUUUAGUUGGCUAUGCUAUUGUCCAUCAAAUAGGGACUCCCACUCUUUGUAUUAUUCAUGUGCAUAAAAUGCCAAUUAUUCAGUCUCACCCUUUAUCAAGGCCUUCUCUCUCCCCACCUCUUUGUACCCUUUUUAUGAACUGUUAAUGCUAACCAUUUCAGAUGUCCAUGUAUCUAGCUAUUUAAGGUUAUGCUGUCCCAUGCCCCUCCCUUCCCCCAUCCCCUGCCCUUUUGCAUUGCUGCUGGGGCAUGUUAACUGGACAAGGUCCUCUCUCGUGGACUUAAAAGGUUAACAGUUCCAAAGGUCAUUGGUUUACCCACUUUGUAUUGCCGUAAUACUUCAGUUGCACUUGCCCUGGUCCAGCCCAUUAAACAUGGAUCUCUCUACUUCCUUCUUUGCAUUGCUUCAGGGCAGUAUAACUACCCAAAACCCCUUCUGUGUUAAUGAACACAAUACCAUUUGUCUCAUAUUUCAACCCAUCAGUCCAAGAACACCCUACCACUUUGGUGUUGUGCUGUGUUUGUGCAGUGGUGACUACCAAAAGCAGGCCUGGAUUAGGUGGCUAGACCUUCCUCUUUUUCCUGCAUUGUUAAUAGUCCCAACUCCAAUGAUUAAUUGUUAUAUCACUGGGGGCAGGAGCCAUCGCUUCCCACCUCUAUUAUUGCUUUCCUGUGCAAAAUACUCAAGGCAAGUCAGGCCCAGGGAGCUGGAUUGCCACUUAUUUAUUUGGGGGUUUUCCGUAUACAGUAUGAAUUGAAAAUAGUCUCCACAGGAAGGUAAAUUCGCCCUUCCUCCAUUCUUCUCCCAGAGCAGAUUGCCUUGCUAAGAAUCUGUCCUCUCUGUGUAUUUCAGUUGUGCAAUGCCAGUUGCUAGGAUAGAACCAGAAAAAUUGGUUUUAAGUAUUUGUUUUUUAAAAAAGAUAUUUGGAUUGCCAGUUGGAAUUUGAUUACCUGGACACUGAUUUUUUGAAGUUGAGGAGCCCUUUUAUACCAUGCACCUGAUGACCAGUGUCUCUCAUUUUAUGGAGGGUGGUGGGUUUGUGGAUAGACCACUGUGACUUCUACCAUUUUAAUAUUUAAUCAAAGAAGUUCUAGAGUGGAACUCUUUAAGAAUAGUCCCUUCAUUUGGGUUCUGUCACCAUUUUAAAGCCAAUUCUUGUUUGGGCAUUACCACCACUCACUUUCAAAAAAACUGUCUAAACUUGCUAGCCCAAACAGAGCCCCAACCCUUAUUUCAAGAGGGUUGCUAUAAAAAGAUUAAAUGAGAGAAUGUAUGCUGAGAUGAUUUUGUAAACUCUAGAACACCUGAUUUGAUUGAUGGAUUGCAUAAUAUGCACCGUUUAAUUCUGCCAAUAAUUUGAAAUAGACUAAAGUACCACACCAAAGUGAGGACCUGUCUUAGAAAUGAUGGGACCUGUUUCCCUGUUUUAUAGUAUGAGGAAAAUAAGCCAAGAUCUAAUCAUUCUUCUGUACAUCAACAGUGAGAACUGCCUGGUAAACAUGAAUAAUAUCCCAGCCUCUAGUGUAUAGGGUGUUUUGUGGCAGAGGAGUGUUUAAUAUGGGACUGCUGAAGCAAAUAACUAGUCAUUACAGCAGCAGUUCUUUGUAAUCAGAAACAAGGAUACUAUUCCUCUGAGAAAGAUGUCAAAACAUCGGCCCAGCUCAGAGUGCACUUUUCACUACUUGCUCCUUGGACAGCUGUAAGAAGAGUCUCUGGCCCUUUAGAAUACUGUACCUUGAUGAGCUUAAAGCAGCUUAGCCUCCUGUUAAAAUAAAAGCAACUUAGCCUCCUUGAUGUAAAACAGACAUAAAAGUCCAGCUGAAAAAAUGUUCCUUAAUCUAAAACCUGAAACUUUUUACGUACAUACAUGUACCUUAGCAGGAACAACAAGAACUAUGGAUGAACUCAGAGCCGGUCUGUAUUCCCACUCGAGGAAAGUUGGAUUGAUUGUAGGUGGAUAGAAGCCUGAAGCCAGAGGAUGAUCUGAGCAUGUGAGACCUGAGGACUGCAUGCAGUUCUAAGAGGCUCCAAAUUCAGCAUAUCUUUCCUUUCAAGAGUCUGGAUGAACUCCAACUAGUCUAGGAGGAUGGUUUGCAGACCACCUGGAGAAAAAGGUGGAGAUGGGUGUGAGGAUCCUCCAGGGGAAAAGCUCACUACUACUGGGCAGCAACUCUAGGUCAGAAGGUUCUACCAAAAUACUUUCUGGGCUCAAAGAGGAAGAUGAAGUUACAAGACACAACCAGCACACAUUAGAAAGAAGUUGGGCUGCAUCUGCCACAUGAACAACAUUGAUCAUGGGCAAAUCAUCGUUUUGUUCCACCUGGUUCUGAAAGUCUGCCUUGAGGACCUGCAGGAGAAUUUUGUAGUUAUUUACUUUCUUCAAGAUACCUUGGGAUGUCCAUGGGAUAAAACCCACAUCGAGCUGUUUUGAGAAGCUCUUGAUAGUUCCCUCAGUAUCUGCUAAAUCAUCAUUACCAAAAGCAGUGCAUAUAGAGCUGGGGCUUUCAGCAGGAUCAAGAGCUUUGAAAACACCAAAGGAAGUCAGCCUUCCUACCUGAAGAUCAGCAUGCCUGGCACUCCAGCAUUUUAGAAUAGCAGAAUGAAUAUGUAUUCCUUUUCUUGUCUAUUUCUUCCUUGAGUGCCUUUCUUUUUUCUUCUGAAUCUAAAAUGCAUUUUAUCCAUUUCCAUGAUUCUUUUGCUAGUUUGUUCUCUGUGUGCCUUUGUGUCAUUUUCUUUUUGUUUCUAAGAGUUGUCUGUGCCUUGUCUUAGAUGUAUAUCUCUAAUUUUUCAUUUUGUUGCUGCUUCUCUGCUCUCCCAGAAUUGGCUUGUCUUUGACUGCUCCUUUUGUGUCUCCUCUCUUGAGUCUCAUGCUGUGUGCUUUUUGCUCUUUUCUUCUUCUGCCUACCUCUUUUUGUGUCUGUGAAUUCUGAUUGUCACCUCCUUCCUUUCUUGUUGCUUUGUCUUCUCACCUUUUUCUGAUUCUGGUCUUGCUUCUGCUAUUUCUAGUCCUCAUCUCUCAUUUCUCUUUUCUACAUUUCCUCUCUGCUUCCCACUGGGCAAUUUUCUCCCC
Long non-coding RNA from Choloepus didactylus (southern two-toed sloth), 7878 nucleotides. RefSeq lists it as uncharacterized. The record is from RefSeq and is a predicted model, not a curated record. The transcript has 8 exons. Lineage: Eukaryota; Metazoa; Chordata; Mammalia; Pilosa; Megalonychidae.